AGAAGAAGAAAUAGGCUGCAGGCCCUGUUGCAGAGAGUUUCAGGAAUGUGACACUGCCACAACUGAAAAAAAAAAACUUCUGGAAGAAAGCGGCAUUGUUGCAGUGGAAAACACUAGGAGUUGCUGAGUCUUGCAGCAAAAGCUGUACAAGUUUAUCCAGUUUUGAGUGUGACGAUGAAGACUUGGAGAGGAAGCCGCGGGAGGUGACUACAGCGGACAGCACUGUUUGCCAUCUCAACAGGAGAGCUUUGGUGUGAUCACGGGACUCGAAACGGUUACCACAACUUUGUAUUGGCAGUAAACAUGUUGCAGCUGUUGGUGAAUGAAGAAGUUCUCUCUGAACAAGAGGAGCUGAAUUUGAGUGUUGACCAUAAGGACAAUCAAGAGGAACCGCAGAAACUCUGGACAAGUCAGGAGGGACAGUAUUUUCAUAUGCUGGAGGAAGUUAACACUAAAUUACCUUUCACUGUUGUACCUGUGAAAAAAGAAAAUGAAGAAAAACUGAAGGCAUUCAGGAUUUAUCAAUCACAAGUUGAAGAGAGCACAGAGGUAAACCCUCUGGCCAGCAGUUGUGUGAACAGAACAGUAGCUGCAGAAGUGGAUGGUGAUUACUACGGAGGACCAGGACAAGCCAGCAGCCCACUUAGUUUUUUACAAUUAAAAACUCGCUGGAGUUCAGAUAAUUCUGAAACAGAGACUGAUGAUGGCUAUGAAGGGAACCAGACCAGUGAAGCUGGUUCAGGUUUAAAUUGUCUGAGAAACAAUGAUACCUCUGUUAGUGAUGGCAUGUGUAACAUUGCUAUGAAACAGUUUAAUUGCUCUCAGUGUGGAAAAGUAUUUGGUCAGAUACACUAUUCAAAGCAACACAACAUAAUUCAAGCAAGUGAGAAAGUCUUUAGCUGUCCAGAGUGUGACAACUGGA
Thalassophryne amazonica is the source of this 922-nucleotide long non-coding RNA. RefSeq lists it as uncharacterized. The transcript has 3 exons. Lineage: Eukaryota; Metazoa; Chordata; Actinopteri; Batrachoidiformes; Batrachoididae. The record is from RefSeq and is a predicted model, not a curated record.